CAUCUCUCUCUCUCAUACACACAAACAAAGCAGGUCUUUGCAAUGUGUUGAUGAAAAGAUUUAAUCAUUGACUAUAUUAUAACUAUGUAUCCGAAAUGCAUGUGGAUGGUGUGUUUGAAGUGAAUUAUAUUGUUGUGUGUUUGACAUAGAUUGUAGGCUUAGGGUUGAUCUCUUCAGGAAUAUUGACUAUUGUGCUUCAAUGCACCAAGAUUCAAUUUCUCUUAAGGUCAAUUGUUGCUCCAAUAAUUGAUCAGCAACAAGGGGACAAUGAGAGAGAGAGUGAGAGGCUUCAGGGUAGACCAAGAAGGGGAAGGAUGGAAACCACUCGACGAUAAGAGAAGUACGACUAGGUUGGAAGGGGACAACUAAGGUUACCUCAUUCUACUUUUCGCAUUUUCCUGAAGAAUACAAAGAAAGAUCUUCAGAAAGAGGGGGAAGGUAUGUGACAUUUUCAUAUGAACACGCUAAGCAAUUAAUUAAAGAGGAUGAAGAAUGGCCUUUGUCCAUGUUUGAAGCUGUUUAGCAGUGGCAUCCCUCUAUUACAACUAAAAAAGACUGGCUUGGAUCCAUUGUUGUGGGCUUCCUCUAAAUUACUGGGGAUAUCACUCAUUCAAACAGUUGGCGAGCACCUUGGGCACACUGAUUUCAGAACUAACUUGAUCUUCAUCAACUUUUUGCUUCUUGUUCCAUAAUUUAGUGUUUUUCUCUUUUACUGAAAAAGCAAUUUACUCCUCCUCCAAUGGAUUUAAAGCAAAGCUUUUUUCUUUCAUUUUUACUUUGAGAAUGUAUUUGUCAUCGACAUCUUUAAUCAAACAUUUUUUGUUCUCAAACAAUACUUUGUAACCUUUCUUAAUUAGUUGUCCAACACUCCACAAAUUCUAAUCAAAUUCAAGAAAAUACAACACAUCAGAAAUAAGCUUUGUACCUUUGUUGGUUGAGAUUGUUAUAGUUCUUUUUUCACUCACAGUAAUGCACUUGUCAUCUCCAACUCCAACCUUCAAUGUGCAUGAUAUAUUUGGGUCCUUGAAUAGAUC
This 1034-nucleotide long non-coding RNA is filed under the name Glycine max (soybean). RNAcentral's name for it is "long non-coding RNA (GMAX_LNC001705)". Lineage: Eukaryota; Viridiplantae; Streptophyta; Magnoliopsida; Fabales; Fabaceae. The record is from RNAcentral.